Molecule: ribosomal RNA, 201 nt
Filed under: Staphylococcus aureus
Lineage: Bacteria; Bacillati; Bacillota; Bacilli; Caryophanales; Staphylococcaceae
Description: partial 16S ribosomal RNA
Rfam family: Bacterial small subunit ribosomal RNA
Source: RNAcentral
UUUAUGGAGAGUUUGAUCCUGGCUCAGGAUGAACGCUGGCGGCGUGCCUAAUACAUGCAAGUCGAGCGAACGGACGAGAAGCUUGCCUCUCUGAUGUUAGCGGCGGACGGGUGAGUAACACGUGGAUAACCUACCUAUAAGACUGGGAUAACUUCGGGAAACCGGAGCUAAUACCGGAUAAUAUUUUGAACCGCAUGGUUC